GUAUAUCAAUACCCAGAAACAAUAAAGGGCACAUUAUAAAUAUGGAUACAAAACAGUAAGUUAAAGUUUUACUUGAAGUAGAAAAGUUUAAACUGUUUUAUCAAUGAAGACAAACCAAAAAUGUGUUCAUUGUAAAUAUCAUUGCAUGUAACAUAAAAAUAUAAAACCUUAAAAUCUUCUGCUUUAAAGUCUUAAAUAACUACAGGUAACUAAAUAUGUUCAGGAGGCUUUGGGCAGAAAAAUCAACUACUUAGGGUCAGCUCGAAAAAUCAAAUAAUUCCUUGUGCUACAUUUUUUUUUUUUUUAAUGUAUUGUGGGUUGCUUGUAAAGGUGUUAACUCACCCAGUUUAUUGUGUAAGGUAAAAGGAAAAUACUAUGAUUUAUACUUGCUACAUUCCAGAGUCUUUGGAGAAUUUACCUUUGAAGGAGACUUUCUAAAAUAGGAAAAUCUGUUUUAAAAUAGAGGCACAAAGUCCUUGAAAUAGUUUUGUCACUCCCUCAAAACAGAUGUAUAUUUGAAAUCUGUUCAUAAUAUGUG
RNAcentral lists this long non-coding RNA (538 nucleotides) under Bos taurus (domestic cattle). RNAcentral's name for it is "long non-coding RNA NONBTAT010650". Lineage: Eukaryota; Metazoa; Chordata; Mammalia; Artiodactyla; Bovidae. The record is from RNAcentral.